Gasterosteus aculeatus aculeatus (three-spined stickleback) is the source of this 1885-nucleotide long non-coding RNA. Lineage: Eukaryota; Metazoa; Chordata; Actinopteri; Perciformes; Gasterosteidae. The record is from Ensembl.
GGGCCCGACUGAACGAUGUAAGGCUCCGAGCUGGCUCAUAUUUUUGGUUUAUGCUGGAAAGGAGGGAGCUGCAGUAGUCUAGUCGGGAGAAAAUGAGUAGAGGAAGAGCUUUUUCCAGGUCUGAGUGUGACAGCAUCGGUUUUAUUUUUAAAAUAGGAAACCUACAUGCACUUUAGAAUGAACAUUCUCUACAUUAUUAAUAAUAUAAAAAAUGUGUAAUGUUAGAUAAGAUGAGGUUCGUGUUGACAUGGUCCCGUAGAAAAGUAAGGUCAUAGUAAAAAUGAAAUGACUGAAUAAUUUGAACCCUGUAUUGGGUACUGCUGUGCCUCAUGUUCAUGGGAACUGGUUUUCAGCCAUCCUGAAAAAAAUGGUCUUUCUGUAUGUGGGGUACAGAGCACUACCGCGGAGCAUAGAGAUGCAUUUCGUUUUCAGGAUUGAGAAGGCCUUCUCCCUCAAGGAUGGUUAAGAUGGUGUAGAGAAGAUCAAGUGUGCCAUUUUAAACGUGUAUCCAGAGCCUUUCCAUUCUGAUGGGGAAAGAAAUGAUCUCGUACCAGAUCGUCCACUGAGGAAGUCUGAAUCUAUGUAUGGAUGCAUUCAUUUAUUUAUUUCCAUAUUUAUUUCAGCAUUUAUUUAUUUAAUCUUUGUUAUUAAUUUCCAGAUUCAUAUCAGCAUUCAUUUAUUUAAUCUUUGUUAUUUAUUUCCAUAUUUAUAUCAGCAUUCAUUUAGUCUUUUUUUUUAAAAUUUAUCCCAUCAUUCAUUUAUUUCUUUCUGUAUGCAUUCAUUCAUUUAUUUAUUUAUACUCAUUUUCUGUCCUACAUAGAAAACAGCAGUGGUGAAAGAAUGUCCGAGCGUGCACUCACAAAGUCAUGUUUGUCUCAAGAUUGACUUCUCCUCUGUCACUUUUCCUCUGAGGAGAAGACAGUCCUAAUCCACUGAGAGGGCAGGAUACAGCCUCUCUACAUACCAGAUACAUACCCAUUGCAGAGGCUAUUCAAAGUGAUAACGGAGAUUACCUUUCAUUCUGGCAGGCACGGACUCCCUUAACCAGGGGGCUGCAUAUAUUGGAGCAGACAGUCCCUCUCAUUGAGUAGACAGCUCCUACUUCCCUGCUGCCAUUUCCAAGACACACACUCGCCCAAACAUGAGCAGACAUAUACACCAAGGACACGCUCUUAAAAUGCAUAAGUACAACAGUCUUUGGUUACUUGCCUCUAACCAUUCUGGUUGAUGGUAAGUGCAGUGUUGACCGAGACAGGAAGAGCUGGCUCUGUGCACACUGGCCAUGCAGAUCAAUCCAGCCCGUCCAAACAGAUCUGAGAGAGUGCAGGGUAAGUCUUUUCCGCUGUGUUUGAUGAGACAGAUGGUUAGUAGUGCUGCCAGAUCAAUUACCAGCAGCACGCCAGCAGAGAGAACGGAGCACAGCACUUAUCUUCCAGGGCCAAUUGAACCGAUCCGUAUUUGAACUUUUACAUACUGUCACAACAUGCUGUGACAAAGGAAUCACUAACUUAAUGCCACAUGUGCCCCAGUUGCACCUUUGGGGAAAUGUUGCUAUUUUACCUUCCACAUUUCUUACUGCUCUUUUAAACAGCCAUCAUGGCAAUAGGACAAAGUAAACAGCUGUGCAUGUUGAGCAGUGGAGGAUAAAGUGUGUGCCAAAAGGAAAACAAAUAGUAAAGGCAUUUGCGAUAAAAAAAUGUUGGCCCCCGUCCAUCUGUUCAAGACCUGCAGAGUAUCUGGCUAAAGAGCUGGUUGAAAUCUGGAAACCAAUAAAUAGCAUUCACAUAUAAGAUCAGAAAUUGUGGAAUGGAUUAGAACAGGGGUGCCCACACUUUUCCGGCUCGCAAGCUACUUUUCAACUAACCAAGUCAUGGCAAUUAACCGG